AGCGAACGCUGGCGGCAGGCUUAACACAUGCAAGUCGAACGGGCACUUCGGUGUCAGUGGCAGACGGGUGAGUAACGCGUGGGAACAUACCUCUUGGUUCGGAACAACACAGGGAAACUUGUGCUAAUACCGGAUAAGCCCUUACGGGGAAAGAUUUAUCGCCGAGAGAUUGGCCCGCGUCUGAUUAGCUAGUUGGUGUGGUAAAAGCGCACCAAGGCGACGAUCAGUAGCUGGCUGAGAGGAUGAUCAGCCACAUUGGGACUGAGACACGGCCCAAACUCCUACGGGAGGCAGCAGUGGGAAUAUUGGACAAUGGGCGCAAGCCUGAUCCAGCCAUGCCGCGUGAGUGAUGAAGGCCCUAGGGUUGUAAAGCUC
RNAcentral lists this ribosomal RNA (375 nucleotides) under uncultured bacterium. RNAcentral's name for it is "bacterial SSU rRNA". It matches the Rfam family "Bacterial small subunit ribosomal RNA", at positions 29 to 433 of the family's 1533-position model. The record is from RNAcentral.